RNAcentral lists this long non-coding RNA (547 nucleotides) under Brassica napus (rape). RNAcentral's name for it is "long non-coding RNA (BNAP_LNC004503)". The record is from RNAcentral. Lineage: Eukaryota; Viridiplantae; Streptophyta; Magnoliopsida; Brassicales; Brassicaceae.
GUUUUAGGGUUUAGGGUUUAGAGUUGAAGGUUUAGGGUUUAGGGUUUAGAGUUGAUGUUUUAGGGUUUAGGGUUAAUUUUUAGGGUUUAGAGUUGAUGUUUUAGGGUUUAGGGUUAAUUUUUACGGUUUAGGGUUUAGAGUUUACUCUUUAGGGUUUAGGGUUUAGUGUUGAUAGUUUAGGGUUUAGUGUUGAUGAUUUAGGGUGUAGAGGUGAAGUUUAGGGUUUUGGGUUUAGAGUUGAUGUUUUAGGUUUUAGAGUUGAAGGUUUAGGGUUUAGGGUUUAGAGUUAAAGUUUCGGGGUUUAGGGUUUAGAGUUGUUGUUUCAGGGUUUAGGGUUCGUAUUUAUAAAAAUAUAGGGUUUAGGAUUGAUGGUUUAGGGUUUAGAAUUGAGUUUUAGGGUUUAGUGUUUGAAUUUCGAAAUAUGGUUUAAUGGCUUAGGGUUUAAAAUUAUUUUUUAUUUUUUUAGAAUUUUUAUUUAUUUAAAUAUUUAUUUAUUAUUUUAAUAUUUAUUUAUUAUAUACAUAAGAGUCUUUUAUCAUUUAAUGAA